This 413-nucleotide ribosomal RNA is filed under the name uncultured bacterium. Its description in RNAcentral is "bacterial SSU rRNA". It matches the Rfam family "Bacterial small subunit ribosomal RNA", at positions 355 to 755 of the family's 1533-position model. The record is from RNAcentral.
UUGGGAAUAUUGCGCAAUGGGGGAAACCCUGACGCAGCAACGCCGCGUGAAGGAUGAAGGCCUUCGGGGUCGUAAAACUUCUGUCAGAUGGGGAAGAAGGUCUGUCGGUUAAGAGCUAGCAGGCUUGACGGUACCAUCAGAGGAAGCCCCGGCUAACUCCGUGCCAGCAGCCGCGGUAAUACGGAGGGGGCAAGCGUUAUUCGGAUUUAUUGGGCGUAAAGGGCGCGUAGGCGGCUUGAUAAGUCAAAGGGUGAAAUCCCUCGGCUCAACCGAGGAACUGCCUUUGAAACUGUCUCGCUAGAGUUCGGGGAGAGGGUAGCGGAAUUCACAGUGUAGCGGUGAAAUGCGUAGAUAUUGUGAGGAACACCAGUGGCGAAGGCGGCUACCUGGACCGAUACUGACGCUGAGGUGCG